UACGUAGGGGGCAAGCGUUGUCCGGAUUUAUUGGGCGUAAAGAGCGUGUAGGCGGCCAGGUAGGUCUGCUGUGAAAACUCGAGGCUUAACCUCGAGAUGUCGGCGGAAACCAUCUGGCUAGAGUCCGGAAGAGGAGAGCGGAAUUCCUGGUGUAGCGGUGAAAUGCGCAGAUAUCAGGAAGAACACCAACGGCGAAGGCAGCUCGCUGGGACGGAACUGACGCUAAGGCGCGAAAGCGUGGGGAGCGAACAGG
Molecule: ribosomal RNA, 253 nt
Filed under: uncultured bacterium
Lineage: Bacteria
Description: partial 16S ribosomal RNA
Rfam family: Bacterial small subunit ribosomal RNA
Source: RNAcentral